This 253-nucleotide ribosomal RNA is filed under the name uncultured bacterium. Its description in RNAcentral is "partial 16S ribosomal RNA". It matches the Rfam family "Bacterial small subunit ribosomal RNA", at positions 524 to 776 of the family's 1533-position model. The record is from RNAcentral.
UACGGGGGGGGCAAGCGUUGUUCGGAAUUACUGGGCGUAAAGGGCGCGUAGGCGGCACCGCAAGUCGACUGUGAAAUCUCCGGGCUUAACCCGGAAAGGUCAGCCGAUACUGCGGGGCUAGAGUGCAGAAGGGGCAACUGGAAUUCUCGGUGUAGCGGUGAAAUGCGUAGAUAUCGAGAGGAACACCUGCGGCGAAGGCGGGUUGCUGGGCUGACACUGACGCUGAUGCGCGAAAGCUAGGGGGGCGAACGGG